AGGACUGUGGCGCAGUUGGUACCGCACUUGACUGGUACUCAGAGGGGCAUGGGUUCAAGCCCCGUCAGCUCCAGCCA
This 77-nucleotide transfer RNA is filed under the name Actinopolyspora xinjiangensis. RNAcentral describes it as "tRNA_Pseudo_GGT". It matches the Rfam family "tRNA". Rfam says of the family: Transfer RNA (tRNA) molecules are approximately 80 nucleotides in length. Their secondary structure includes four short double-helical elements and three loops (D, anti-codon, and T loops). Lineage: Bacteria; Bacillati; Actinomycetota; Actinomycetes; Actinopolysporales; Actinopolysporaceae. The record is from RNAcentral.